AAUUAUCCUCAUAAGUUUGACAAUAAGAGAAACCAUAUAAAAUUUAAAUUAAUUAUAAUUUAAAUAACAAUAUGGUAUAAUAAAAUCGGAGGCCACGACUGUUUACUAAAAACACAAUUCAGAGCAAUGAUUAAGAUAAUAGUAUUCUGGAUGAAAUUUGCUCAAUGCCAUUAAUAUAAGAAAGGUAAUUUUAAAGUUACUAAUCGAAAAUCUGGUUAAUAGCGGUCUUAACUAUGAGGAUCCUAAGGUAGCAAAAUAAAUUGGCCAUUAAAUGUGGUCUUGUAUCAAUAAUGUAACGAUGGUCUCACUGUCUCUACAACUUGCUCAGUGAAAUUGAAUUGCGAGUGCAGAUGCUCGCUAUCUUCAGAGGGACGGGAAGACCCUAU
This 386-nucleotide ribosomal RNA is filed under the name Russula aff. annulata C189gn. RNAcentral's name for it is "LSU rRNA". It matches the Rfam family "Bacterial large subunit ribosomal RNA", at positions 1720 to 2094 of the family's 2925-position model. Lineage: Eukaryota; Fungi; Basidiomycota; Agaricomycetes; Russulales; Russulaceae. The record is from RNAcentral.